This 242-nucleotide unclassified non-coding RNA is filed under the name Hevea brasiliensis (rubber tree). Lineage: Eukaryota; Viridiplantae; Streptophyta; Magnoliopsida; Malpighiales; Euphorbiaceae. The record is from RNAcentral.
UUAGUUUCAACUCUUUUAUGCAUUUCCUCAUUUUUUCCUACAAAUGGUGGAGGAGUUGGGGGCGGGGUAGGGGGUGGGGGUGGGGGUGGUGACAGCUUCUUGGAUAGCCAUAGCUUGUUAUGGAGACUAGGAGGUGGGGUGGAAUUAAGUAGAUGUUUGAGGGGUUUUUGGGUAAAUUUAGGAGUGUAUGGAGGAGGGAUUUUUUCAGGGGAACUGGAGGAGGAUUUUCUGAGGGAGGAAAA